Homo sapiens (human) is the source of this 1032-nucleotide long non-coding RNA. The record is from Ensembl. NCBI's taxonomy places the organism in Eukaryota, Metazoa, Chordata, Mammalia, Primates, Hominidae.
UCAGUUGGAAAUGUGGAAAUUACCCAUCUUCUCUGUCAAUCAUGCUGGGAGCGGCAGACUGGAGCUGUUCCUACUCAGCCUUCUUGGAACAGAGCCCCCCUCACAAAGGACUUUCUCUGGCUAACUCUGAUGCUUUUCUGAGUUCUUACCUAAAUUUCCCCUUCUCCUUCUGUGGCCCUGCCAGUUUUGUUUUGUUUUGUUUUGUUUUGUCCUUAUCACUACCCUUGCUGCCUCCUCAAAUUAUCCAGAGCCACUGUUGUUUUCUAGAACAUUGGCAAGCACGUUGAUAGAGUGCCCACAUUGUACUGAACUCUGAGGGGAAUAGUCUCGUCCCCAUCACUCAGGUGGGGAAACUGAGCAGGAGGCCACUGGAGGCUCCAAGGGCUCUGAAAUGUUGAGAACUUCCCUGCAGGUACCAGCGAAGAGGGCAAGAACACAGCACUACUUCCUUGGAUACUGUUUCCCUCCUCAGAGGGGUUUUCUGAGCUGCCCUGGGUCCUGUGAGGAAGGCAGAAGUCCUAGCAGAGUAUGCCCACGCUGGUUAGUGCUGCUGCAAAGAUGAGCCGAAGACCAUGAGAGACCUCCAGGUGGUCCUUCUGGGGAGAAGAAAUGGGUUUUGGCCCCAAAUCCUUCUGCUGCAUUUUUCCCCUAUCCCUGGGAAGCCAUGAGACCUCAAACCUGUGUUCCCAAGGAGGCGAGCUGCUGUUCCCAGGUGAUGAUAUGAUGUGCUUGGGGAAAGUAAGUGGCUGCCAGACAUGGCUGAGAGCUGUUGUCACUGCCGUCAAGUGCAUGUCUCCAAGCCAUAUCACACGGCGUCCCUCGAUGUGAGGCCACAUGGCAAGUGGGCCGUGGAUCUCCCUCUGCCCUUUGCAAGCACGUAAGACAGCAGAUUUUGCAGAUACCUUGUGGCGCAGGGGAAUUUCCUUUGGCCAGGUCUGAAGAAAUAAAGCAGCAGGCACCGAGAACAAAGCCAAGGCUUUCAAAAGACAAGGAGCCAAAAAACUUACUCAAAAUAAAAGUAGUUUUAAAAUG